AAGCUCAGGUUUCUCUUCAUUCAUGCACAAAUCUUUCACCUUUUACUAAAGAUUUCCGUGGAGGGGAACGUUGAACGUUCUUAUUUUUGAAGGUGCUGCUAUGGCAGCACU
Small nuclear RNA from Pygocentrus nattereri (red-bellied piranha), 111 nucleotides. Its record names the gene U5. It matches the Rfam family "U5 spliceosomal RNA". From Rfam's summary of the family: U5 RNA is a component of both types of known spliceosome. The record is from Ensembl. NCBI's taxonomy places the organism in Eukaryota, Metazoa, Chordata, Actinopteri, Characiformes, Serrasalmidae.